This 928-nucleotide ribosomal RNA is filed under the name uncultured bacterium. RNAcentral describes it as "bacterial SSU rRNA". It matches the Rfam family "Bacterial small subunit ribosomal RNA", at positions 8 to 991 of the family's 1533-position model. The record is from RNAcentral.
AGAGUUUGAUCAUGGCUCAGGAUGAAUGCUGGCGGCGUGCCUAAUACAUGCAAGUCGAGCGGUAAGGCCCUUCGGGGUACACGAGCGGCGGACGGCUGAGUAACGCGUGGGAACAUGCCCCAAAGUGAGGGAUAACCUCGAGAAAUCGAGGCUAAUACCGCAUAUGGUCUUCGGAUUAAAGGAUUUAUCCGCUUUGGGAGUGGCCCGCGUACGAUUAGUUUGUUGGUGAGGUAAUGGCUUACCAAGACUACGAUCGUUAACUGGUCUGAGAGGAUGAUCAGUCAGACUGGAACUGAGACACGGUCCACACUCCUACGGGAGGCAGCAGUAAGGAAUCUUCCACAAUGGGCGAAAGCCUGAUGGAGCAACGCCGCGUGCAGGAUGAAGGCCUUCGGGUCGUAAACUGCUUUUAUGAGUGAAGAAUAUGACGGUAACUCAUGAAUAAGCACCGGCUAACUACGUGCCAGCAGCCGCGGUCAUACGUAGGGUGCAAGCAUUAUCCGGAGUGACUGGGCGUAAAGAGUUGCGUAGGUGGUUAGUAAAGUGAAUAGUGAAACCUGGUGGCUCAACCAUACAGACUAUUAUUCAAACUCACUAACUCGAGAGUGGUAGAGGUAACUGGUAUUUUCUAGUGUAGGAGUGAAAUCCGUAUAUAUUAGAAGGAACACCAGUGGCGUAGGCAUGGUUACUGCACCAUUUCUGACACUAACGCACGAAGCGUGGAGAGCGAACCAGAUUAGAUACCCCGGGUAGUCCACGCCAGUAACGAUGAUACUAGCUUGUUGGAGUAUCCGACCUCCUCAGUAGCGAGCUACGCGUAAGUAUCCCGGCUGUGGAGUACGUCGCAGACUAACAUAGUAUUGGACGGAUCGACAAGCGGGGGAUAUGUCUGAUCGAGUAACGAGCACUACCAGGUCGCGACAUCCAG